GCCUGGGUGGCUCAGUCGGUCGAGCACCUGACUUCAGCUCAGGUCGUGAUCUCACGGUUCGUGGGUUCGAGCCCCUUAAUCGGCU
RNAcentral lists this transfer RNA (85 nucleotides) under Felis catus (domestic cat). It matches the Rfam family "tRNA". Rfam says of the family: Transfer RNA (tRNA) molecules are approximately 80 nucleotides in length. Their secondary structure includes four short double-helical elements and three loops (D, anti-codon, and T loops). Lineage: Eukaryota; Metazoa; Chordata; Mammalia; Carnivora; Felidae. The record is from Rfam by way of RNAcentral.